ACAUGUUGAUUUUAUUGGCAUUGAAAGUAUUAUUUGUUCAAAAGUUCCUCUAACAACUUUUGUGAAAGAUCUGCAGGUUGAUAAUGAGUUAGUAUUGUUCUUUGAGAUUAUAUGUUUACUUCUUUCACAAUAUUCGAGCAAGAUUCGAGGACGAAUCUUUUCAAAGAAAGGGGGAAUGAUGAGAACCCAUGUAGCAUAAGGAAUCCUACUUCAACAAAGAAUCCUAAUUCCACUAAAGAUCCUAAUC
RNAcentral lists this long non-coding RNA (247 nucleotides) under Ricinus communis (castor bean). Its description in RNAcentral is "long non-coding RNA (RCOM_LNC001873)". Lineage: Eukaryota; Viridiplantae; Streptophyta; Magnoliopsida; Malpighiales; Euphorbiaceae. The record is from RNAcentral.